AGUGAACGCUGGCGGUAGGCCUAACACAUGCAAGUCGAACGGCAGCACAGUAAGAGCUUGCUCUUACGGGUGGCGAGUGGCGGACGGGUGAGGAAUACAUCGGAAUCUACUUUUUCGUGGGGGAUAACGUAGGGAAACUUACGCUAAUACCGCAUACGACCUCCGGGUGAAAGCAGGGGAUCUUCGGACCUUGCGCGAUUGAAUGAGCCGAGGUCGGAUUAGCUCGUUGGCGGGGUAAAGGCCCACCAAGGCGACGAUCCGUAGCUGGUCUGAGAGGAUGAUCAGCCACACUGGAACUGAGACACGGUCCAGACUCCUACGGGAGGCAGCAGUGGGGAAUAUUGGACAAUGGGCGCAAGCCUGAUCCAGCCAUACCGCGUGGGUGAAGAAGGCCUUCGGGUUGUAAAGCCCUUUUGUUGGGAAAGAAAAGCAGCAGGUUAAUACCCCGCUGUUCUGACGGUACCCAAAGAAUAAGCACCGGCUAACUUCGUG
RNAcentral lists this ribosomal RNA (492 nucleotides) under uncultured bacterium. Its description in RNAcentral is "partial 16S ribosomal RNA". It matches the Rfam family "Bacterial small subunit ribosomal RNA", at positions 29 to 507 of the family's 1533-position model. The record is from RNAcentral.